AAUCUCAUCUAGAAAGUAAUACCCAUUACAUCUAGUAGCGAGUCUUGGAGCUAUCUUGGUAACAAUAUAGUUUAAGCGUAGACAGUCAGGUAUUAGGGCUAGUAUUGAGCUUCGAAAUGUAUAAUUUCAAGAGCGCAGACAUAAUCGUCCAGAUGGAAUGCUAUAUUUAAUAUUGCGAUAUGGGAAGUGAUAUUAAACUCUUGCGGAGUCUGAAA
RNAcentral lists this non-coding RNA (215 nucleotides) under chicken gut metagenome. The record is from RNAcentral.